UUAUCUCCAUUUCAACGGGACGAUUCUGGACCGCAGUGAUCACAGCCCCCCUUUCCCUCACUGAGACUUACCAGAAGGGACUCUGCACAGGGAAAGGCUCAUUGGUGGGGCUGCCUGGGAGAACUCCCAAGACACACAGGUGGAGCCUUUCCCGAAGGCCAAGUAUGGAGCAAUUAUCUCGCGUCUUCAUCCAUCAUCGGAAAUCCUAACUGAAGCUUUUGAGCCGAAUUCCAAAGCUUUAUGGACGCCCUUCCGUCCGGAGCUCCCUGGAGCUGCGCCUCGUGGGCUGUGAUUUACACAGGGGCUGAGGCUUGGGCCUGAGUUGGUUCCAGAUCAUAGGGACUGUGACAAGCCUGAAGACCCUUCUCCCUAUCCCAGGAGGAGCCCAGGAACGCAAGCGAGAGCCUCUGCAAGUCACCCCAGCUGCCGCGUUUCCACCCAGGAGGAAGACGCACGUGGGGCGGCACGAGAGAUAGACGGAGGAUCUUCACAGAGUUAGAAUCUUUUUGGAGGCUGAGAGAGUACCAGUAGCUUUGCUGUGUUUUGCUUGCCUGUAUAUGGGGAGAAAAUAGCAGUAACAAAGGAACUCACUCACCCUCCAGGUUCCCUUGAGACGACAGUGUUGAAUGGGAGAUGGAUACACUUGGAGUGAGAACUGUCUGUUGUUGCUACCACCUGCCAGCCACUGUGCAAGGAAUAAUAUCCCAUUUCCUCAUGCACUUGGUUUUAUGGCUUUUUAAAACCCAUUGUUGGCUCCUGCCUCCCCAUGUUGAAAUUAUUGGUCAUGGAUGCUGUCAAGGAAAACUUGCAAUGGAUGGAGGUAAACAGGCAAGGAAGAUUUUUUUCAAUGCUACUGUAAUAGGGGUCAAGACCAUUACAGU
RNAcentral lists this long non-coding RNA (881 nucleotides) under Homo sapiens (human). RNAcentral describes it as "HSALNT0289969". Lineage: Eukaryota; Metazoa; Chordata; Mammalia; Primates; Hominidae. The record is from RNAcentral.